GCGCCCGUAGCUCAACUGGAUAGAGUGGCAGACUUCGAAUCUGUAGGUUGAAGGUUCAAAUCCUUCCGGGCGUG
RNAcentral lists this transfer RNA (74 nucleotides) under Selenihalanaerobacter shriftii. It matches the Rfam family "tRNA". From Rfam's summary of the family: Transfer RNA (tRNA) molecules are approximately 80 nucleotides in length. Their secondary structure includes four short double-helical elements and three loops (D, anti-codon, and T loops). Further hydrogen bonds mediate the characteristic L-shaped molecular structure. tRNAs have two regions of fundamental functional importance: the anti-codon, which is responsible for specific mRNA codon recognition, and the 3' end, to which the tRNAs corresponding amino acid is attached (by aminoacyl-tRNA synthetases). tRNAs cope with the degeneracy of the genetic code in two manners: having more than one tRNA (with a specific anti-codon) for a particular amino acid; and 'wobble' base-pairing, i.e. permitting non-standard base-pairing at the 3rd anti-codon position. The record is from Rfam by way of RNAcentral. Lineage: Bacteria; Bacillati; Bacillota; Clostridia; Halanaerobiales; Halobacteroidaceae.